Molecule: long non-coding RNA, 688 nt
Filed under: Coffea arabica (coffee)
Lineage: Eukaryota; Viridiplantae; Streptophyta; Magnoliopsida; Gentianales; Rubiaceae
Description: long non-coding RNA (CARA_LNC001072)
Source: RNAcentral
GCAGCAAAAUUAAAAAUAGGGAGGGAGAGAGGGAGAGAAGAGAGGAAUUGAGGUUUGGGUGCUUUUGGGUUUUGGCCUAUAAAGCUUUUAUCUCAUCCCUCUUUCAUGCCUACCUGAAUUCUCUCCGACCCUUCUUCAGCUUUGUCCUCUUAACCCCUUUCAUUCUUCUUUCUUUCUUCUUUUCUCAAUCCGGCUUUUGGGAUGCAAUUCAGCUGAAAGGCAAUAGAUUUGAUAACAAGCGCAGAGGCAAAUAGCUCAGGUUUCAGGGCAAAAAAAAGUUUUAACUUUACUCGGUUAAAUGUAUAUGCGAUUGGAUAUCAUCCUUUUUCUUACUUGAAAUUUUGCUUCUUUCCUUUAGUCGCAUCGUGGGUUUUCUCUUUGGUGCACAUGUUUAAAUUGGGUUCUGCUCAGCUGUCUCAUUUAAGUCAUCAGUGGUUUGAGAAUUAGGGUUUUUGAUGUUAGAGUUGAUUGUUUUACUGGUGUGGGAAUUUGGAUGUUAUGAUUUGAGUUAAAUGGUAUCUUGGUUUUACUUUGUAUGAUCAUUGGAUUGUGGAAUUAGCAUUUUGUGUUGAAAAGGCGAUUGCUUCUUUGUUUGGCUGUGCACCAUCUGUGCUUUUGGAAAUUGAGUACGUUCAGGUGAAAAGAUUAUCAAUUCUAUAGUUCGUUUUGCUCCUCAUUUCAAUGGCUU